This 253-nucleotide ribosomal RNA is filed under the name uncultured bacterium. RNAcentral describes it as "partial 16S ribosomal RNA". It matches the Rfam family "Bacterial small subunit ribosomal RNA", at positions 524 to 776 of the family's 1533-position model. The record is from RNAcentral.
UACGGAGGAUGCAAGCGUUAUCCGGAAUGAUUGGGCGUAAAGCGUCCGCAGGUGGCCAUGUAAGUCUGCUGUCAAAGCGUCUGGCUCAACCAGAUAAAGGCAGUGGAAACUACAUAGCUAGAGUAAGGUAGGGGUAGAGGGAAUUCCUGGUGUAGCGGUGAAAUGCGUAGAGAUCAGGAAGAACACCGGUGGCGAAAGCGCUCUGCUGGACCUUAACUGACACUGAGGGACGAAAGCUAGGGGAGCGAAUGGG